GGGCCAGAGCAACGGCAGAGGCUGAGCAGAGAGCUAGGGAGGUGAGGCCCGCUCUGCCAGUUCGCCUUGGCUCCGCGGAGGCUGAGAUCCUGACGGGCGCCUCCACCCCGGCGCCCGCUGAGCCCUGGCACCUCGGACCCAGGGCCAUGGCGCUCCGUGGGCGGGAACGUACCGGGAGGACCACGCGGGAGAUCACCGAUGGGCACCCUGGGCUCGAUGAACAGCCAGGUCUUGCUUACUCCUGCCUUGGGAAGUCCUUCCCAAUGUCUAACCAAGAUCUGUACCGCUGAAGUACCAGUUCUUUGACCCUCGGCUUGACAUGGCUAAUUUGAGAGGCACAGGGAGGAACUGACCUUGAUUUGGCACCCGCUUGCUUGUUCCUGAAAACUGAGUGAUACUGUCGCCACUAUACAAAGACAAUCAGAGCCCCAAGUCACAGGACUGACCAAAAAGAAGAACCUACUUCACCCACUUGUCCUGGGUUCCCUCUGAGACGCUGUCUUGAUUGACUGAAAGAUGAGGCUAAACUCUAGCAAGUUGAGUGGCUCCUCCCAGAAUCCUUUAAGCAGGAUAGAAGUGGGGAGGCCCCAGCCUCCAGCCUGGGCAGCCCUUUAGACUGGAGCCGCCUGGCAAAGACUUUAUUUCAUCAUUGCUCCAGUGUCUGCAAGCUGUCCAUCCUGGCCAGCCCUGGUUUCCCCUGUGUCGUCUGAACUGAGAAUCUUCUGAGAUGGAAGUCCCAUCUCAUGCCUAAUAAAGACUCUCAAAUAUUG
Molecule: long non-coding RNA, 770 nt
Filed under: Sus scrofa (pig)
Lineage: Eukaryota; Metazoa; Chordata; Mammalia; Artiodactyla; Suidae
Description: lncRNA (ENSSSCG00065030534.1)
Source: RNAcentral